AUUGUGGUUGCCGCCGAUGGAUCAGUUCGCCAAUUGCCCUGAAGCUGAUAACAACGCGCCGAGAUUUUCAUUUUUUUUUACAUCUAUUGUAUUUUGUUUUCCCUGUGCUGCAAAAUGUGUGAAAGCCGUGAAAAGCUGUUGGAUGCCGGCGAUGAGCGUGAGAAAAAUCAUGAAGUGAUCAUUGAUGCGGCCCAACUGGAGGCUCAGCAGCAGAUUACAGAGCCGCCGGAGGCGCCACAUGUCGGUCGAUUCGAUUCGUUCAAGCCGCAUGUACUUUUCAGAUCACAAAGUUGGUCUACUUUGGGCAUUAUUUUUUGUGUUUUUUACAAUUGUUUUAUUCUUGUAAUAUUAUUACUAUCAUUUAUACACUCCAAGUUGGUACAUUAAAUCAUUAUGAAAAUA
Long non-coding RNA from Drosophila montana, 402 nucleotides. RefSeq lists it as uncharacterized. NCBI's taxonomy places the organism in Eukaryota, Metazoa, Arthropoda, Insecta, Diptera, Drosophilidae. The record is from RefSeq and is a predicted model, not a curated record. The transcript is spliced from 2 exons.